GGUUUAUUCUUUCUUCUCCCACUGACCUCCGAGAAUUCUUUAGAGGGCCUUGGCAUUUUUCAUUCCUCCAUUGGAUACGAGUGCUGCAUUUUAAUGGUGGAGAGAACUCCAGGAGAGGAACCAUUGUUAUGAAAUCAAACUGAGACAGACAUCUGUUUGGAAGACUCAGGCUCAUCUCUCAUUUCCCCAAAGCACUUCAUCAAGGUUAAAUAAGAAAAC
Molecule: long non-coding RNA, 219 nt
Filed under: Homo sapiens (human)
Lineage: Eukaryota; Metazoa; Chordata; Mammalia; Primates; Hominidae
Description: HSALNT0028293
Source: RNAcentral